RNAcentral lists this ribosomal RNA (526 nucleotides) under uncultured bacterium. RNAcentral describes it as "bacterial SSU rRNA". It matches the Rfam family "Bacterial small subunit ribosomal RNA", at positions 52 to 571 of the family's 1533-position model. The record is from RNAcentral.
CACAUGCAAGUCGAGGGGUAACGGAAGUAGCUUGCUACUAGACGACGACCGGCGCACGGGUGAGUAACGCGUAUGUAAUCUGCCUUGUACAGAGGGAUAGCCCAGAGAAAUUUGGAUUAAUACCUCAUAGUAUUACUGAAUCGCAUGAUUUGGUAAUUAAAGCUCCGGCGGUACAAGAUGAACAUGCGUGACAUUAGCUAGUUGGUAAGGUAACGGCUUACCAAGGCUACGAUGUCUAGGGGUUCUGAGAGGAUGAUCCCCCACACUGGUACUGAGACACGGACCAGACUCCUACGGGAGGCAGCAGUGAGGAAUAUUGGUCAAUGGACGCAAGUCUGAACCAGCCAUCCCGCGUGAAGGAUGACUGCCCUAUGGGUUGUAAACUUCUUUUAUAUGCAAAUAAACCUACUUUCGUGAAAGUAGCUGAAGGUAGCAUAUGAAUAAACACCGGCUAACUCCGUGCCAGCAGCCGCGGUAAUACGGAGGGUGUAAGCGUUAUCCGGAUUUAUUGGGUUUAAAGGGUACG